Molecule: long non-coding RNA, 438 nt
Organism: Acipenser ruthenus (sterlet)
Lineage: Eukaryota; Metazoa; Chordata; Actinopteri; Acipenseriformes; Acipenseridae
Exons: 3
Source: RefSeq, a predicted model, not a curated record
GUCAGGGGUGAGAGUAUAAACUGUAAGUAAUAACUGCACCUAGUGAUUGUUCAGUGACGCUCACUGUCCAAAGUUUACGUUUUCGUAUUACGGGAACCUUAGCAGGAUGUUUACAAAAGCAGUAAACUAAACAGAAACCAUUCCAGAACGAAUAGAGGGCUAUGGUGUAUUUAAUUCACAUGAAGAAGGAACUGAUGCAGAUUUGGGAGUAGAAACCUGCUGUCUCCAAAGAGAUCGUUAUAAGAUUAGGCUGUGUCAGAGGAACAAGUCAAUGAAACCAUGAAUCCACAAGCUCUUUAGGUGCCUUGGCUGCCCAUCCCUUCAAACUAUUGCUGGAAUCAGUGUCACAGCUGCUAGCCCCAAAAACCACUGGAAACACUUUAACCAAACAAGGGAAGACAUAGUAAAAGAAAAAAAAAAGCGCUGAUGCUAUAUUAU